AGGAGGACUUAGCACAGAAGCAUAGACACAUGCAAACUGUGUUGAAUUCUUCUCUUUGAGUUCUAAAUGGCCCACAAAUAGAGAUUGCUUUGUUUAUUUCCUGCUCCAUUUUACACAAGAUCCGUAAGGGCAUGUUUUUGGCCAUGGAUUUACCUCCACGAUGUGUGAUCAUGCCAUGCUUGUCACAUAUUGCCUUACUUCAGAAAGGCUAACCAUCUUAUUCAGUGAAAUGGGAUAUGGUACUAUGAAGAACUUUAAUUAAAGACUCAGCAGCUCUUUCUGUAUUAGUAAAUUUGUGGUCUUAAUUUGCCAACAGCAUUUAUGUUAUGUUUUUUACUAUACAAUAUUCUGCUCAGUCAAGCACUGUCCGAAAGAGUUAAACCUGAAGACAAAUGCAAGUCUGUAGUGUAAAUGUUUCCAGGGACAGAUGUUGUGAGAGAGCUCUAAAAACAUCUGAUGCUACUUCUAAUUGUUUCCAGUGAUACUUUUCAAAACAGAGUACAAUGCCCUGAAAAGCUGCAAGUUUCUGCAUUUGAUAAUAUCAGACAAUAUUCCGUUUGGAGCCUACGGUGACCCAAACAAAAUGGAGAAGAAUUGGCAAAUUAAAAAAAGAAAUUAUAAUCAAGGUCCAGGAACAAGAUCA
Molecule: long non-coding RNA, 643 nt
Organism: Cuculus canorus (common cuckoo)
Lineage: Eukaryota; Metazoa; Chordata; Aves; Cuculiformes; Cuculidae
Exons: 3
Source: RefSeq, a predicted model, not a curated record